This 741-nucleotide ribosomal RNA is filed under the name Triticum aestivum (bread wheat). RNAcentral describes it as "partial small subunit ribosomal RNA". The record is from RNAcentral. Lineage: Eukaryota; Viridiplantae; Streptophyta; Magnoliopsida; Poales; Poaceae.
AUGUUUGCUGCCCAGUCCAGGUCACGUGCCAACAACUGCCGCACCGCCCUCUCCAAUGCCCAAAAGGGCUCUCAAUCUGCUGCUGCUUACUUCGAUCAGAUGCGUGCACUCGCAGAUGAACUGGCCAUGGCUGGAAAGCCUCUUCUCGAGGGAGAGCUGAUCUACUUCCUCAUUGCUGGCCUUGAUAUGGACUACCAACCCCUCAUAUCUGCUCUUGACGUCUGCACUGAGCCCCUCUCUGUCGAUGAUCUAUUCGGCAUGGUGUCGAACUUCGAUCAAAGAGUGGAGAUGUUCCACGGCUCUAGAUCGGGCGCCUUCAAGUCGUCUGGAAACGCCGCUGCUCGAGGACGUGGUGGCCCUCCUAAGGGUAACCACGGCUUCCCCAAGGGUGGCGGCAACAACGGCAGCAGCAACGGCGGCUUCAAAAACGACGGCAACAACGCCGGCAACAACGGCGGCUACCGCAGCAGCGGUGGCGGCCAUGGAAACAGCGGUGGCAGUGGCUACCGUGGCGGCGGUGGCGGCAACCACAACAACUACAGCAACAAUCAUCGUGGCGGUGGCGGCUACUACAACAACAACGGCCAGCCGCGCCCCUACUACAACAACAACCAAAGUCGUCACUUUGCCGGGUAUGAGGAAUAUGUGAACAAAUGUCAGAUUUGCAAAAAAAAAAAAACUAACCACAUCGCAAAAGAAUGCAAAUGGCGCUAUGCAGAGGAUAAAUCCCAUAGGAAAUGA